RNAcentral lists this ribosomal RNA (542 nucleotides) under Aureobasidium pullulans. RNAcentral describes it as "eukaryotic LSU rRNA". The stretch from base 192 to 345 matches the Rfam family "5.8S ribosomal RNA". Lineage: Eukaryota; Fungi; Ascomycota; Dothideomycetes; Dothideales; Saccotheciaceae. The record is from RNAcentral.
AAGGAUCAUUAAAGAGUAAGGGUGCUCAGCGCCCGACCUCCAACCCUUUGUUGUUAAAACUACCUUGUUGCUUUGGCGGGACCGCUCGGUCUCGAGCCGCUGGGGAUUCGUCCCAGGCGAGCGCCCGCCAGAGUUAAACCAAACUCUUGUUAUUAAACCGGUCGUCUGAGUUAAAAUUUUGAAUAAAUCAAAACUUUCAACAACGGAUCUCUUGGUUCUCGCAUCGAUGAAGAACGCAGCGAAAUGCGAUAAGUAAUGUGAAUUGCAGAAUUCAGUGAAUCAUCGAAUCUUUGAACGCACAUUGCGCCCCUUGGUAUUCCGAGGGGCAUGCCUGUUCGAGCGUCAUUACACCACUCAAGCUAUGCUUGGUAUUGGGUGCCGUCCUUAGUUGGGCGCGCCUUAAAGACCUCGGCGAGGCCUCACCGGCUUUAGGCGUAGUAGAAUUUAUUCGAACGUCUGUCAAAGGAGAGGACUUCUGCCGACUGAAACCUUUAUUUUUCUAGGUUGACCUCGGAUCAGGUAGGGAUACCCGCUGAACUUAA